UCUCCGCCCCCCUGUGCCGCACCACCACCCCGACCCUGUCUCCUAACAGCAGAGGGGCUGGAAAAAUAAGCCGAAAUAUGUCGGUCAAUGGCAGAAAAAAAUCGUUCACUUUCAAGUGAAAGCGUUUCAAUAAGAAAUGAGGUAGAACAAUUUCAGAAGUUGCUCUGAGCUUUUAAGGCUACGAUUGAAGAGGAUCUGCAGAAAUAG
This is a long non-coding RNA of Etheostoma cragini (Arkansas darter), 207 nucleotides long. RefSeq lists it as uncharacterized. The record is from RefSeq and is a predicted model, not a curated record. NCBI's taxonomy places the organism in Eukaryota, Metazoa, Chordata, Actinopteri, Perciformes, Percidae. The transcript has 3 exons.